RNAcentral lists this ribosomal RNA (118 nucleotides) under Pteropus alecto (black flying fox). Lineage: Eukaryota; Metazoa; Chordata; Mammalia; Chiroptera; Pteropodidae. The record is from RNAcentral.
GUCUACGGUCAUGCCACCCUUAACAAGCCCGAUCCCGUCUGACCUUGGAAGCUAAGCAGGGUCAAGCUGGUUAGUACUUGUAAUGGAGACCACGUAGAAAGACCAGGUGCUGCAGGCG